UGGGGUGUUGCCUAGAGCGCAGAUGAUGGGUUGCAGUAGUGCAAGCCAUACCCUGUAAUAAUGAGCAAUCACCGUGUAGUCGAUUUUACAGACGACGACAACAAGGUGAAUGAACAGGUUAUAGGUUGAGGCCACGGAAAGCAAGCACAC
Long non-coding RNA from Lolium rigidum, 150 nucleotides. RefSeq lists it as uncharacterized. NCBI's taxonomy places the organism in Eukaryota, Viridiplantae, Streptophyta, Magnoliopsida, Poales, Poaceae. The transcript has 3 exons. The record is from RefSeq and is a predicted model, not a curated record.